Molecule: ribosomal RNA, 211 nt
Filed under: Sycobia sp. 2034_02
Lineage: Eukaryota; Metazoa; Arthropoda; Insecta; Hymenoptera; Epichrysomallidae
Description: partial 28S ribosomal RNA
Rfam family: Eukaryotic large subunit ribosomal RNA
Source: RNAcentral
UUUCCCUCAGGAUAGCUGGCACUCGCUUGAGCGAGUCUCAUCUGGUAAAGCGAAUGAUUAGAGGCCUUGGGGCCGAAACGACCUCAACCUAUUCUCAAACUUUAAAUGGGUGAGAUCUCUGGCUUGCUUGAACAUGAAGCCACGAGAUUAUUCGUAAUGGAUCAGAGUGCCAAGUGGGCCAAUUUUGGUAAGCAGAACUGGCGCUGUGGGA